This 234-nucleotide ribosomal RNA is filed under the name uncultured bacterium. RNAcentral's name for it is "partial 16S ribosomal RNA". It matches the Rfam family "Bacterial small subunit ribosomal RNA", at positions 100 to 334 of the family's 1533-position model. The record is from RNAcentral.
CGGGACGGGUGGGUAAUGUCUGGGAAACUGCCUGAUGGAGGGGGAUAACUACUGGAAACGGUAGCUAAUACCGCAUAACGUCGCAAGACCAAAGAGGGGGACCGUUCGGGCCUCUUGCCAUCGGAUGUGCCCAGAUGGGAUUAGCUAGUAGGUGGGGUAACGGCUCACCUAGGCGACGAUCCCUAGCUGGUCUGAGAGGAUGACCAGCCACACUGGAACUGAGACACGGUCCAG